Sciurus carolinensis (gray squirrel) is the source of this 3032-nucleotide long non-coding RNA. RefSeq lists it as uncharacterized. NCBI's taxonomy places the organism in Eukaryota, Metazoa, Chordata, Mammalia, Rodentia, Sciuridae. The record is from RefSeq and is a predicted model, not a curated record. The transcript is spliced from 3 exons.
GCGGCGGCGCUGGGGCGGCCGCGGUGGGCGGCCGGGUGGGGAGGCCGGGCGGCGCCGGCGAGCCGCGAGGACCCUGCGCAGUGGGCCGGGCGCGAGCCCCCUCCCCUCCCGGCCGGGGCGGAGGGAGGAAGUGGAGCCCGGGUGGGAGGGAGGCCCGGAGCGGACCCCCGCGCCUACCGGUCGGGAGCUGCGGACCCAGGCCUCCACGGGGUUGGGCCUUGCCUCUCCCCUUGGGCUUGAAGGCCGAGGCCCCGGGGCUGUCUCCAAAACAGUGGGUCGGAGGCGUGUGGGUAAGAAGUAGUGAAGACUCUUGGACCGAGGUAAAACUGUUCAAGGGAACGCGCUGAUUGAGCGUCCCUGUUCGCCCGGCCAGCCCGCGUGGACAGCGCUUUGCCCAAGCCCUCUUGAUUGUUCCUUUGAGGGUCACACGGUCUUCCACAGCCCCUGCUUUGGACAGGCUUAGGGCCGGUGCCUGGAAGUCAGCCGCAGCCGCACUGACCGGAACACGGAUCAGGGUUUGUAGAAGAAGAAAAAACCAUGCCAGGCUCCGUGCUCAGCAACUUGCGUUCUUAAAACCUCACAAAAGCGCUGGAAGGUAGCAAUUACUUUACCCAUUUUAUAGGAAGGAAAAAGACAGGCCCCCUCACUCUAACCGAUUGGCUCAAGGUUACAGAUCUGCUUCUUCCCAAGACUGUGGUUUAAUCUCCUCCAAAUGGGAAGGAAACUGGGGCCCAGGGAAGUUAAGCAGCUUGUCCACCCUCAAGCUAGUUGGUGCUGGGACAGGACAGGACUCCCCUCCCCCUAUCUCCUCUGCCUGGUCUCUGGUGUGUACCUGGCUGUGUGCAGGUAAAAGCAUACCCUCCUCCUGAUCUAUUUAAAAAGAAAAAAGCAUUUCCUGUUCUUAAAGCCAAGUUCAAAUGCCACUGCUUUCCCUGUAACACCACUUGAUACCUCUCAUGAGACUUAGCAAAUAAUUGGAACAAGGCAUUCUAUGUGUUCUUUCAAGAUAACUUGAGGUCCCACUAUGUCUCUAAACUCAAGUCUCCUCUCCUUGUAGGAAGCACCAUUGUUUAGGUUUCUCUUUGGAUCUCACAUAGGAUGCUUUUAAAAUUCCCUAGCAAAGGUGUAAACAGAUAUGUUCCUGCCCUCAAGAAGCCUGCACUGCAUUUGAAGAAAUACACACAAACAUGCUAAGGGCUAACACACAAGGUUGAGAAUAGAAAUGUAAAGCGAUCUUGGACAGCAAACCAUUGGGCUGUAGGUGGGGAAGUCCAUCUGAGGCUGAAACGCCUCAAAGAAUGGAUUUGCAUAGGAGAGCAGGAGGAUAUUUCUGUGGCAGAAUGGGGUGAGUCCAGGACACCUGUCUCUGCAUGACGGGUGCGUGCUGCACAUAGAGAUGAGCUAGUAGAGCGGGUCCAGAUUGCAGAGGGCUGUACAAGAGUCACUAUUAGUGUGGGAGGCCAGAGUAAAUUACAGCAGAUUCUCCAGCAGAACCUGCUGUAACAUAAUCAUCUGCCCCAGACAGAGGACCAUUCCCACAGCCAGUGAAUUCCAGGAACUAUAGUAGAAGACUUGGUUCCACAGGGUACAGGACUCAACCUGUGGGGCAUAGAGAUGGCAUUGGAAAACAGAAAAACCAGCAGAUUAGAAGGUUCUCAGAAGAACCUGCUUUAAAAACUGUCCAGCUGUGUUUGAGUUGUGCUUGGACUGUCUGGUACACAAAAGAGAUCAUCCUCCUUCAAGCAGUCAUCCGUGUCAGGGGCAGAGACAGUGAUAAUGCAGAGCAGCUUGCUGGGGCCCAGCCAAAUGCUGGCCCUGGAGGCAGGAGCCCUGCUUUUUGAGCCUUUGCUCUGCCACCAGUGUGACCUUGGGAAAUGUACUUAACCUCCUGAGUUUCAGGGUCACCCCUUCUAUAAAGUGCAUCUCUAAAGAUCUUAUUUAUGUAAACCUAUUUCUUAGAGAAAAUAGUCAUCCAAUAUCAAGAAUAGUUCAGUGAUACUUAGUUUUUUUUUUAAGUUGACCGACUGUAGGCCAGAGAUUCUGGAGAAUGGAAGUGUUCUCAGCUUUUGCUUCUACCCAGCACUAGAAUAGAGGGUAGGGAGAGGGUACUACUAUAACCUUGAAUGUUUCCCUCUGACCCUUUUCCUCUGGGGGGCAGAGAGUAUGGUGGUCAAGACAGCUCUGGAACAAACCCACCUGGGUUCAGACAGCUCCACAAUGGACUGCAGAGUGCACCCGCAGCAGCUUCAUCUUUAAGAUGAGAGUAAUAAGAACUACUUCUCCAGGUUGUCGUGAGGAUUAAAUGAGAGACGCCAUAUGAUACUAGGCACAUAGUGAGGCUCCGUGAGGAAAAGGUAGCUAACAAUCCAGAGAGUCACCGGGGGCAAGUAUAACUUCACAGAGCUUCUGUGUCUAGACUUCAAGGAUUUUCUUUCAUCCUUAUUUCUUGGAACUCCAGCCCCAUAUGUGGCUUACAAACCACAGGCUCUGAUGUGUUUAACUAAAAAAGGCAGGCAGUGUUUUCCUCUAAGUAGGGCUCCACCGUGGUGUUUGGUUACACCCAGAGGAGGAGGCUGCCCAGUGGUAGUGGGAAUGUCUUCUAGGGCAGCAAGGGGGUCCAGUGGCUCUUGGAGAUUUCCAUUCUGCUCUCCCCUUUUCUGAGUCAGCACAGCACACAUUUAGGGGAGUUUCUUCUUCCCUUUUCCUCCUCUUCCUCCCUAGAGUAGAUUGGAUGGUCAGGAAUGUGGUCAAAGCAGAGAAGGAACCAGAGACAUCUCUUCAGGCUUCCAACUUGCACCAGCGUGCCUCACAACACCCUUGGACAGCACGGACUGUGGACAACAGGGUCAAGCUUUGUUGCCAAGACUGGCAGAGGCCAACAUGAGUCCGAAUGCUCUCCAAACUGAGUAUGGAUCCGAGUGACCUCCACGGCGAGUUACCCACUGAUGCGAGCCACCGGCGGCAACUCACGUACGGAUUAUUGAAAUAACCUCCCACCUGGCCUCCCUGCUCAAGUACUUGCUGCCCUGUUG